This 685-nucleotide ribosomal RNA is filed under the name uncultured Lachnospiraceae bacterium. Its description in RNAcentral is "bacterial SSU rRNA". It matches the Rfam family "Bacterial small subunit ribosomal RNA", at positions 60 to 743 of the family's 1533-position model. Lineage: Bacteria; Bacillati; Bacillota; Clostridia; Lachnospirales; Lachnospiraceae. The record is from RNAcentral.
AGUCGAGCGAAGCACCUUACUUGGAUUUCUUCGGAAUGACGAGUGUUGUGACUGAGCGGCGGACGGGUGAGUAACGCGUGGGUAACCUGCCUCAUACAGGGGGAUAACAGUUAGAAAUGACUGCUAAUACCGCAUAAGACCACAGCACCGCAUGGUGCAGAGGUAAAAACUCCGGUGGUAUGAGAUGGACCCGCGUCUGAUUAGCUUGUUGGUGGGGUAACGGCCUACCAAGGCGACGAUCAGUAGCCGGCCUGAGAGGGCGACCGGCCACAUUGGGACUGAGACACGGCCCAAACUCCUACGGGAGGCAGCAGUGGGGAAUAUUGCACAAUGGGGGAAACCCUGAUGCAGCGACGCCGCGUGAAGGAAGAAGUAUUUCGGUAUGUAAACUUCUAUCAGCAGGGAAGAAAAUGACGGUACCUGACUAAGAAGCCCCGGCUAACUACGUGCCAGCAGCCGCGGUAAUACGUAGGGGGCAAGCGUUAUCCGGAUUUACUGGGUGUAAAGGGAGCGUAGACGGAGAGGCAAGUCUGAUGUGAAAACCCGGGGCUCAACCCCGGGACUGCAUUGGAAACUGUUUUUCUAGAGUGUCGGAGAGGUAAGCGGAAUUCCUAGUGUAGCGGUGAAAUGCGUAGAUAUUAGGAGGAACACCAGUGGCGAAGGCGGCUUACUGGACGAUGACUGA